GCCCCUUCGGGGGUACUCGAGCGGCGAACGGGUGAGUAACACGUGAGCAACCUGCCCCUGACUUCGGGAUAAGCCCGGGAAACUGGGUCUAAUACCGGAUAUGACCAUUGCCCGCAUGGGUUGGUGGUGGAAAGUUUUUCGGUUGGGGAUGGGCUCGCGGCCUAUCAGCUUGUUGGUGGGGUGAUGGCCUACCAAGGCGACGACGGGUAACCGGCCUGAGAGGGCGACCGGUCACACUGGGACUGAGACACGGCCCAGACUCCUACGGGAGGCAGCAGUGGGGAAUAUUGCGCAAUGGGCGGAAGCCUGACGCAGCGACGCCGCGUGGGGGAUGACGGCCUUCGGGUUGUAAACCUCUUUCAGCAUCGACGAAGCCUUUC
This 380-nucleotide ribosomal RNA is filed under the name Actinomadura sp. A16. RNAcentral's name for it is "bacterial SSU rRNA". It matches the Rfam family "Bacterial small subunit ribosomal RNA", at positions 74 to 456 of the family's 1533-position model. Lineage: Bacteria; Bacillati; Actinomycetota; Actinomycetes; Streptosporangiales; Thermomonosporaceae. The record is from RNAcentral.